Molecule: ribosomal RNA, 115 nt
Filed under: Caerostris darwini
Lineage: Eukaryota; Metazoa; Arthropoda; Arachnida; Araneae; Araneidae
Source: RNAcentral
AACGGCCAUACCAUGCUGAAUAUACCGGUUCUCGUUCACCGAUCAGCGAAGUCAAGCAUCAUUGGGCGCGGUCAGUACUUGGGUGGGUGACCACCUGGGAACACCGCGUGCCGUU